This 521-nucleotide ribosomal RNA is filed under the name uncultured bacterium. Its description in RNAcentral is "bacterial SSU rRNA". It matches the Rfam family "Bacterial small subunit ribosomal RNA", at positions 14 to 518 of the family's 1533-position model. The record is from RNAcentral.
CGAUUCUGGCUCAGAUUGAACGCUGGCGGCGUGCUUAACACAUGCAAGUCGAACGCGAACGGGGCUCGGCCCCAAGUAGAGUGGCGCACGGGGGAGUAACGCGUGGACAAUCUGCCCUUAUGACUGGAAUACAGUUGGAAACGGCUGCUAAUACCGGAUACGCUCAGGAAGAACUUUUUUGAGGAAAGGCGGCCUCUGCUUGCAAGCUGUCGCAUAAGGAUGAGUCCGCGUCCCAUUAGCUAGUUGGCGGGGUAACGGCCCACCAAGGCAACGAUGGGUAGCCGAUUUGAGAGGAUGAUCGGCCACACUGGGACUGAAACACGGCCCAGACUCCUACGGGAGGCAGCAGUGGGGAAUAUUGCGCAAUGGGCGAAAGCCUGACGCAGCGACGCCGCGUGAGGGAAUGAAGGUUUUCGGAUCGUAAACCUCUGUCAGAAGGGAAGAAACUGCCGUGCUCUAAUCAUCAUGGCAUUGACGGUACCUUCAAAGGAAGCACCGGCUAACUCCGUGCCAGCCGCGGC